This 765-nucleotide ribosomal RNA is filed under the name uncultured marine microorganism. Its description in RNAcentral is "bacterial SSU rRNA". It matches the Rfam family "Bacterial small subunit ribosomal RNA", at positions 8 to 818 of the family's 1533-position model. The record is from RNAcentral.
AGAGUUUGAUCCUGGCUCAGGAUGAACGCUGGCGGUAUGCCUAACACAUGCAAGUCGAACGAUGUCUUCGGACAUAGUGGCGGACGGGUGAGUAACGCGUGAGAAUCUGCCUCUAGGAUGGGGAUAACGGUUGGAAACGACCGCUAACACCCAAUAUGCCGUAAGGUGAAAAAUUUAUUGCCUGGAGAGGAGCUCGCGUCUGAUUAGCUAGUUGGUGGGGUAAGAGCUCACCAAGGCUUCGAUCAGUAGCUGGUCUGAGAGGAUGAGCAGCCACACUGGGACUGAGACACGGCCCAGACUCCUACGGGAGGCAGCAGUGGGGAAUUUUCCGCAAUGGGCGAAAGCCUGACGGAGCAAUACCGCGUGAGGGAGGAAUGCCUUUGGGUUGUAAACCUCUUUUCUCAGGGAAGAAGAUCUGACGGUACCUGAGGAAUAAGUAUCGGCUAACUCCGUGCCAGCAGCCGCGGUAAUACGGAGGAUGCAAGCGUUAUCCGGAAUCAUUGGGCGUAAAGCGUCCGCAGGUGGUUUCCAAAGUCUGCUGUUAAAGACUGGAGCUCAACUCCGGAACGGCGGUGGAAACUUGGAAACUAGAGUUCGGUAGGGGUAGCAGGAAUUCCCAGUGUAGCGGUGAAAUGCGUAGAUAUUGGGAAGAACAUCGGUGGCGAANGCGUGCUACUGGANCGUAACUGACACUCAGGGACGAAAGCUAGGGGAGCGAAAGGGAUUAGAUACCCCUGUAGUCCUAGCUGUAAACGAUGGAAACUA